UGGUUUCUUGUGUUCUUGUGUUCUGUGCCUGUGUUUGGUGUGGUUUCUCAGAGUGUCUACCCCGGAUCUGCGACACCUUGAUGCAUGUGUUUCGUCCACCAUCUCUGGAAAAUGGAUGACGCCAUAGUGUCUCAGAGCUGCAUUUGGCUGCGGUUUCCACUUUUGACGUGGUGGAGUGUAGUCAUCUUCGCUGUCACUUGCUAAUCCUGCUUGGGCCUGAGUAAUCACCUCUUCACCAAGGAGCAGUUUGAAGUCAAGGAACUUCAGUGGUUUCUUCCCCAGAAAUUGGCAGUCACUCUUAUACUGAAGCCAGCAGAGUGAAAAAGGGUUGUGGGGGACAGAAGCAGGAGCUGAUCCUAGCAGAUAUUGGAUACACCCUCAACAGGUCCUGACCCCAAGAGUCCAUCCAUCUCACAUAAAACCAUUUCUAUGAGAGGUAACAGUACUGAUGAAGUGUUCGACAACAUAUUUAAUGUUGUUCUUCUGGGCCUAACGGGGACUGGAAAGAGUGCAUCUGCAAACACCAUCCUGACUGCCGGAAACCCCAAUCCUGGUUCAGUUUAACUUUUUAAAUCAGAGCCGAGCUCCAUGCCAGUCACAAUGCAUUGUGAGGUCAGAAUAACAGAACAGCCAUUCGGAGGGAAUGUGAGAUUGGUCGACUUCUUUCACGACGAAGUCAAAAACCCCCAGGUGCAGGUAGGAAUGUGCAAGAAGUUCUGUCGGCAAGGGGAAUGUGUAGUGUUACUCGUGUUACAGCUGGGUCGGAUCACGGAUGUCGAGAAGGGAAUAAUAGAGAAGCUGGAGAACAAGCUUGGCUGGAAAAUCAGAGAAAGAACAAUCGUCUUGUUGACCCAUGGAGAAGACCUGAAAGGAUCUUGAAUCUGUUGAAUAACUACUCCAAGGACACUAAGCAAGUCACUGAGCUCAUCAAGAAAAUUCCAAAUUGUAAAGCCCUUUUUCCAAAGUUCAAAAAUAAUUCGUCAUGCUGUAUAUGUUAGCUCGGCUGUAUGUGCUGAUCAGUGCACUACAAAUGAUAAAGUGCUUUAAGAGUGCUCCACUGUGUAGUAUUGCACUCCUGUAACGUUGUCACACUCACAAUGGACAAUUUUCUUUAAAAGAAUGGUUAAAUCAAUACAGUAGAAUCAUAAAUCCUAUUUUUAUUUCAUACAUUGUUGAUUUCAUACAUUGUUGACAUUGUGAUUUUUCAGAUUCUCUGAGCAAUGUGGUCUACUUUUCCUUUUUCCUUCCUUAUGGACUUUCACACUUUGACCUCAAUGGAAAAUGAGGUAAAGGAAAAGUGUUUAGCAAAGGACAUGGGAAAUAGUUUUUUUUGACUGUUUGACACAGCCAUUGUGUCUCAAAGGGUAUUUGAUGGUUUCAGCAAUUGACUCUAAAAUUCCACAGCUGUCUAUGUGGGUGAGUGUAUGUGGGACAAACAUUCAAGACUAGUUGCCCAACUAAUACUAAUAUAUACUAAUAGCAGGUUAUCAAAUAAAUAUUUCUGUUUGUAUGUGUUUGGUAAGUUUAAUGAUAAAGUACAUACUGUGUUGAAUUUGGUUAGUAACAGACAAUCUGAAGAAUUACGUGUUUUGAGAUACUGAAAUGAAAAAUAGAAGGGGAAAAGACAAAAACAUUUUGUAGAGUGAGGGUGAGAAACUUUUACUGGACUAGGUAUAGGAAUGAAAUUUGGAUUGCAUGAGGGAUAAUGCAGGUCUCAGGUCAGUUCUUGCAUAAAUCAUGAAUAAAUCAUACUCUUGAAUUGAUCAUGCAUGUAUGCUCAAAUUACAUUAAAAAUAACAUUACAACAAUAUUGUUCAGAUUUUAACACAACUGCACUGAACAGACAGACAGGUAAAACAAAAAGUAAAAGACAGUUGUCAGGCAAUUGGUCAUCUAAGCUAAGAUGGUGUAUUUGGAUUUAUUGCAGUUCUUUUAUCUGAAUAUAUGUAUUUACAUUUGCAUGAAUUAUCAUAUUUCCUAACCAAGAUGUACAUAAAUAAUCAGUAAAACGUGACUCUGACUGAAAGAUCUGAUUAAAACCUUCCUGCUCAGAGGGUGAAGAGAUCUGUGAUCAUCCGUCUAUGUCUGCA
Molecule: long non-coding RNA, 2090 nt
Organism: Larimichthys crocea (large yellow croaker)
Lineage: Eukaryota; Metazoa; Chordata; Actinopteri; Sciaenidae
Exons: 5
Source: RefSeq, a predicted model, not a curated record